This 1105-nucleotide long non-coding RNA is filed under the name Anas platyrhynchos platyrhynchos (common mallard). RNAcentral's name for it is "lncRNA (ENSAPLG00000026736.1)". The record is from RNAcentral. Lineage: Eukaryota; Metazoa; Chordata; Aves; Anseriformes; Anatidae.
UCUUAAUGCAAUUGGUUUUCGAAAGCUCUCCUCCUCCUCCUCCUCCCCACCCAGCCUGAUGGGGUUAAACACCUCUGAGGAGGCUGGAGGAAGGAAUGUUUUUAAUCUCCCCGAUUUAUUAAAAUCGUCUAAAGAUAGCCAGCUGCAACAGAUAAAACUGCUGCCCUCUGCACUUCAGAAAGAUCCUCCCUGAAUCCGCUCUGCGCAGAAAACAUUGGCAAUGGCUUAGUGACCUGAGGGACAUGGUGGUACCUGCCUGCCUGUCAAUGGCCAGGGCUGAAUUUGGCCAAAUUUCCAGCAGGGCUGCCUUCUCCUGGCUCGUGCAUCCCCCUCACUGCUUUGCUCAUGGAGAGAGAUAUCGAGGGGGCAGUGGAGUUGCACUCUCAGGACCACCGGAUGAGCUGUGGCCAAUGCAGUGCUGCAAAACCCCUUCCUUCAAGCUUUCUGUCCCAGGCCGGAGGACGAGCCAAAAGCAGCAUCUGAAUUCCUGCCCUGCACCUCUCCUGCCACGUAACAAAUGGACCCACCGGAGACAAAAGACAGCGUCAAGAGUAAUUGAAUGGACGUGGCAGGCAGACCCAGCAGUGCUCUUAUCAGCUGGGGGAGGCAGAGCAGAUCCGAGGAGCAGAACAGGCCAGAGAAUGGACCCAAUAUGUUUUUUUUGUCCUCUGAGGGCUUCCAAAGAAGAUAAAAUAUGUAUUCUGCUUGGUGAUUAUGGAGACAAGCUCACCAUGGUCACUCUUCCCCAGUCAGUAACCUCUCUGACACAGAAUCAUAGAAUAAUUUGGGUUGAAAAAGGCUUCAUCUAUCUCAGCCAGUACAUCUUUGUGUCUCUGUUACAAGAUGGCUUUCAUUCUCCAUGGUGAUCCAUAGAAGUCACUGGUUCUGGCACAGCUGUUUUGGAUACCCUUUUGUGGUCUCAUGCCCCCAUCUUCCUCCUCCUAUGGGUUAAUGUUGAAUUGCAGCCUGUGCUAUACCCAUGUCCCACCAACCUAGAUGAUUUUUUCAAGACACAAAAACUAUGCUACGGGGCUGAGAGGCAAAAAGAGGCUGUGAAACCACUUCUCCAAAUAAAAUCCAUCCAUGUUUAAAAGAACCUGGCCUU